This 468-nucleotide ribosomal RNA is filed under the name uncultured bacterium. RNAcentral's name for it is "partial 16S ribosomal RNA". It matches the Rfam family "Bacterial small subunit ribosomal RNA", at positions 28 to 507 of the family's 1533-position model. The record is from RNAcentral.
GACGAACGCUGGCGGCGUGCUUAACACAUGCAAGUCGAACGGAAAGGCCCUGCUUUUGUGGGGUUCUCGAGUGGCGAACGGGUGAGUAACACGUGAGUAACCUGCCCUUGACUUUGGGAUAACUUCAGGAAACUGGGGCUAAUACCGGAUAGGAGCUCCUGCUGCAGGGUGGGGGUUGGAAAGUUUCGGCGGUUGGGGCUGGACUCGCGGCUGAUCAGCUUGUUGGUGGGGGAGUGGCUUACCAAGGCUGUGACGGGUAGCCGGCCUGAGAGGGUGACCGGCCACAUUGGGACUGAGGUACGGCCCAGUCUGCUACGGGGGGCAGCAGUGGGGAAUAUUGCACAAUGGGCGGAAGCCUGAUGAAGAGGCGCCGCGUGCGGGAUGACGGCCUUCGGGUUGUAAACCGCUUUCGCCUGUGACGAAGCGUGAGUGACGGUAAUGGGUAAAGAAGCACCGGCUAACUACGUG